GGUAGUGUGGCCGAGCGGUCUAAGGCACUGGAUCCAAAUUCCAAUCCUGAAGAAGGCGUGGGUUCGAAUCCCACCACUGCCA
Molecule: non-coding RNA, 82 nt
Organism: Hemiscyllium ocellatum (epaulette shark)
Lineage: Eukaryota; Metazoa; Chordata; Chondrichthyes; Orectolobiformes; Hemiscylliidae
Source: the annotation of a RefSeq genome assembly